RNAcentral lists this ribosomal RNA (537 nucleotides) under Triticum aestivum (bread wheat). RNAcentral's name for it is "partial small subunit ribosomal RNA". Lineage: Eukaryota; Viridiplantae; Streptophyta; Magnoliopsida; Poales; Poaceae. The record is from RNAcentral.
AUGGUGGCCUCGCUGUCAGCGCCCAUGUGGCAGUCCCCGGUGGAUCUUCUUCUUCCCUCACAUUCUAUUUCAGCUAGACAUUUCAUUGAGCACUUGGCAUGUAUCAAGCAGCCGGAGAAGGACAUGGGUGUGGAAGCCUCCGGCAAGGUGGCUCUGGUCCUUGGCCGCCCACGGGAUCGAGGUGGAGGCUGCAGCCGUAUGCAUCUGCGACGCUGUCCGCACACACAGGCCCACCAUGGCCCCGCCGUGGUGGUACGAGCUCGAACCUAUGUGGAGGUCAAGCCGCCGCGUGGAUCCAUGCAGCUGGCCGCACACCCAGCUCCGUGCGAUGGCCGACGCACAGGUUGCAGCUGUUGUCGUCGAUUGUGGCAACGCCCUUUGACUCGCUUGGCGUGGCCGCUGGCCACCCAGACAACGUCCGCGUUCGGCACUGCUCCGCGUCGUCUCUGCGUCCGGACCCGACCUUUUUUUUUAGGAUCACACGGUCAUUUUAUUGCUGUCCAGACCCGACCUCUAGCCAUCUCACCGCGCCACUGA